RNAcentral lists this ribosomal RNA (300 nucleotides) under uncultured Halobellus sp. RNAcentral's name for it is "bacterial SSU rRNA". The stretch from base 52 to 300 matches the Rfam family "Bacterial small subunit ribosomal RNA", at positions 547 to 795 of the family's 1533-position model. Lineage: Archaea; Methanobacteriati; Methanobacteriota; Halobacteria; Halobacteriales; Haloferacaceae. The record is from RNAcentral.
UGUAAGUCGGGGCGGAGGGGGUGGUGAAUGCGGUGGUUGCAAGGGUGAUCGGGAUUUAUUGGGUUUAAAGGGUGCGAAGGCGGACCGGUAAUGCAGGGGUGAACGCCUACAGCUGAACUGUAGAACUGCCGUUGAUACUGUCGGUCUUGAGUGUGGUUGAGGUAGCUGGAAUGAGUAGUGUAGCGGUGAAAUGCAUAGAUAUUACUCAGAACACCAAUUGCGAAGGCAGGUUACCAAGUCACAACUGACGCUGAUGGACGAAAGCGUGGGGAGCGAACAGGAUUAGAUACCCCGGUAGUC